CAAUAGCGUAUAUUAAAGUUGUUGCAGUUAAAAAGCUCGUAGUUGGAUUUCUGGUAGGAGCGACCGUGCCGAACUUGAUUGUUCGAGUAUUGUGUUGUCUUCAGCCAUCCUCGUGGAGAACUUUUCUAACAUUAACUUGUUGGGAUUGGGACCCGCGUCGUUUACUGUGAAAAAAUUAGAGUGUUUAAAGCAGGCAUUAGCUUGAAUACAUUAGCAUGGAAUAAUAAGAUAGGACUUUGGUACUAUUUUGUUGGUUUGCAUACCAAAUUAAUGAUCAACAGGAACAGUUUGAGGAUAUUCGUAUGAACAUGUCAGAGGUGAAAUUCUUGGAUUUUGAUCAGACGAACUACCGCGAAAGCAUUUAUCAAGGAUGUUUUCAUUAA
Molecule: ribosomal RNA, 383 nt
Filed under: uncultured eukaryote
Lineage: Eukaryota
Description: partial 18S ribosomal RNA
Rfam family: Eukaryotic small subunit ribosomal RNA
Source: RNAcentral